This 747-nucleotide ribosomal RNA is filed under the name uncultured Streptococcus sp. RNAcentral's name for it is "bacterial SSU rRNA". It matches the Rfam family "Bacterial small subunit ribosomal RNA", at positions 33 to 763 of the family's 1533-position model. The record is from RNAcentral. Lineage: Bacteria; Bacillati; Bacillota; Bacilli; Lactobacillales; Streptococcaceae.
ACGCUGGCGGCGUGCCUAAUACAUGCAAGUAGAACGCUGAGGUUUGGUGUUUACACUAGACUGAUGAGUUGCGAACGGGUGAGUAACGCGUAGGUAACCUGCCUCAUAGCGGGGGAUAACUAUUGGAAACGAUAGCUAAUACCGCAUAAGAGUAAUUAACACAUGUUGGUUAUUUAAAAGGAGCAAUUGCUUCACUGUGAGAUGGACCUGCGUUGUAUUAGCUAGUUGGUGAGGUAAAGGCUCACCAAGGCGACGAUACGUAGCCGACCUGAGAGGGUGAUCGGCCACACUGGGACUGAGACACGGCCCAGACUCCUACGGGAGGCAGCAGUAGGGAAUCUUCGGCAAUGGACGGAAGUCUGACCGAGCAACGCCGCGUGAGUGAAGAAGGUUUUCGGAUCGUAAAGCUCUGUUGUUAGAGAAGAACGUUGGUAGGAGUGGAAAAUCUACCAAGUGACGGUAACUAACCAGAAAGGGACGGCUAACUACGUGCCAGCAGCCGCGGUAAUACGUAGGUCCCGAGCGUUGUCCGGAUUUAUUGGGCGUAAAGCGAGCGCAGGCGGUUCUUUAAGUCUGAAGUUAAAGGCAGUGGCUUAACCAUUGUACGCUUUGGAAACUGGAGGACUUGAGUGCAGAAGGGGAGAGUGGAAUUCCAUGUGUAGCGGUGAAAUGCGUAGAUAUAUGGAGGAACACCGGUGGCGAAAGCGGCUCUCUGGUCUGUAACUGACGCUGAGGCUCGAAAGCGUG